RNAcentral lists this long non-coding RNA (397 nucleotides) under Vitis vinifera (wine grape). RNAcentral describes it as "long non-coding RNA (VVIN_LNC006171)". The record is from RNAcentral. Lineage: Eukaryota; Viridiplantae; Streptophyta; Magnoliopsida; Vitales; Vitaceae.
UAUCCAUAAGCAAAUCAGAAAAAAGCCCAGAAAAAAAAAAUCCAAAAAGAUGAGUGUGGCAUCUUCAAUUCCAUGCAUCAAAAUCCCAACUUCUUCUUCUUCAUCUUCUUCAUCAUCUUCUUCUUAUUGUAGAUUCUCUGCCACCAAGCCUGCUAUAUUCACCAUAAGGAGCUCCCAAACUGAAGGCCCACUCAGGAGACCUGUGGCUCCCCUUAGAGAACCUGCCCCUCCUCCUCUUCCUCCUAAACCCAUCCCCCCUUCUCCCUCUCCUUCUUCUGCUUCUCCUCCUCCAUCACCCCCACCACCACCAUCUGCCUCUGUGGACAAGAAUGUGGUCACUCUGGAGUUUCAGAGGCAAGUAGCUAAGGAGCUUCAGGAUUAUUUCAAGCAGAGGAAG